Oxyura jamaicensis (ruddy duck) is the source of this 10630-nucleotide long non-coding RNA. RefSeq lists it as uncharacterized. NCBI's taxonomy places the organism in Eukaryota, Metazoa, Chordata, Aves, Anseriformes, Anatidae. The record is from RefSeq and is a predicted model, not a curated record. The transcript has 4 exons.
UGCCCGGCUGCACUGGGCAGAUUUCUCAGAUUCUAAAACUGGCGCUUUUAUUUAUUUUUUGGUGAUGGGGAGGAGUAGGAGUAAUUAACCCUGCUUUGCACAGAGCCAGGUGAGCAGCAGGGAGCUGCGUGGACUCUGGAUUCAGGCCAAAGGCAGUAAAUGGCACAAGAGCAAAGUUCAGAGCUGCCUUCAAUCCUCGUUCACAUAAUGAAAGCAUGAAAGCAGAUUCACACGAUGGAUGAACAUGAAAAGCCAAACAUAUCGAUCACUCCGUACAUCGCUGGCAACCAGCUGUUCUGGCAGCAGUCUUACAAAGGCUCUGCUGCAGUCAGACACAAGAUAAUGAGAAGCAAGCAGAGGAGCCCGGAUCGGAUGGUGGACUCUGUCCAGCAAACGCAUUUGCUGUGUGCCUGAAACCUGCUGCACAGAGACAGAGAAGCUGUGGCAGUGCUGCAGGGAGCAUCAGGACGCCAGAGCUGCCCGAAGGGCCCAAACAUCCAAACCCUCUGCUUCCCUCGGGCUCUGCUGCACGACUAACAGAGCAGGUGGUGCGCAAGCCUAGGUAUUUGAUGUUUCUGAAGAUGAGAUAAAGGAGAAGAACCUCCCACACUACCUGUGAAGCCAUGACCGACUCCAGGGACACAAUGAUUUCCUUAACAGUGCUGUGAGUCUCUUUGUGUGUACAGUAAGUUGUGCUGUGCCUGCAAUCCAAAAGAAAGGCCAGCAUAUGCCACUAGUGUGCUUCACACAGAGUGUACCAAAGAGUACAUAUAUGGACUUUCACAACUACAUCUUCAAAAGCUGUUUUAGGAUGGAUGGGAGCAGGUCUUCUUGCCUUGAGGCACUGCUUGUAGAAAGGGGCAGAAGUCCUUUGGAUGCCUGUCUCACCCCAAGGACAUCAUUCUGUAGCAGCCUAUCCUCCUCUGCAGCAUCGCCCAGUCAUGAGGUCCUGCUGUUGCCUGUGGUCCAAAUUGCACACAACUACUGAUUUUUUUUCACAGGUUUCACUAAAUACAUGGCUACUGUCAAGUAAUGAAGGUUCUGCUGAAAGCCUAAUGCAGAGUGUUACAACUCCUGUACAACUCAGGAUGGAUUUUCAUCUGUACAGCUUUGCAGGUAGUCACGUAGCUAAGUGACAUUGAGCUGAGAAAUCUAUAAAGUGGAAUGUCUUUGUUAUCCAUCUCGUGGAAUUGCUAAUGUCAUCUUUAGCUCUUAUUCAUGCCAAUUAGCCAAAGCCCCAUGGAGGAAGACUAGAUAUAUAAUUCCAGCUGGAACUGGUGCGUCAUGUGUGGUUGCUGCCACAGGUCCUCAGCUCAGACUCAUCACUCAUCCGGCUAGUCACAGAGGUACUCUGGCAGUCCCAUCCGGAUGAUGCUUAUUUAGUCCCUUUGGUCUGCUGAAGCUGGUAAUAAAUCAACUCCAUAAUGAGGUGAAGUUGCCGUUGGAACAUGCUAUAACUACAUUGUCAUUCCAGAAGGCUUUAUUAGGUAAAAUAGCUGCUUGAUAUCUGGCUAGUCUGUUGGUAGCCUUUCUAACUGGUUUGCCUAAUGGCUGACCUUGCAUUGCUUAUAUAUACAGAAAGUUUGUUGAUCUGAGACAAUAUGGAGUGAAAUUUUCCAAGAUAUUUAUAAGAGUAUUGGGCUAACAGUCCAUAGCAUCACUCAGGACUGGACAUCUUUGUUCUCCUGGGACAAGGGUUACUUCAUAAGAGGGAUUUCACACACACGCCAUUUUUUCUUGAAAGCAAAUCUCAAAGCUGGUUACAACAUCAAUACUACACAUUUCCUUUCCCCUCCACUAAAGUAGGGCAGCCCCAAUAAUUUUCCUUAUAUCAAACUGGAUUAAAGGCUAGCAAUUCCCGUGCUGUCUAGGGGAUUUAAACACCCUGAUUGCCAGUGAUAGCACUAGAAUCCAAAUAGCAGAAAUCUUUCUAAAUGUUUCCACACUGCUUUCGCCUACAGCAUCCACCAGCAAACCUUUAUUUUCCUUCUUUUCAGCCCAAAUGUUUUUUUUUUCCUAAUGUAAUGUACUUCCUGAUUACAUUUGCCUGUAUCAUUCUAUAUGCUAUUUAAAAAUGACAUUUAUUGUUAAAUAAGCCCUACUCAUUUAUACAGUCAUCAUUCAACCAUACUAAUGAGAGGCUAACCACAAUUUGUAAGCUGCCGCUUUUCUUUCACUUCUGUAAUUAUAUCAGUGAUACUCAAUCUUUUCUGCCCUGUGAGCCACAAGGCCUGUUUGUGGUCACUAAAGAGCUGGGUGCCUUCUCCACAAAAUAUUAGUUCUGAACAGGGAUCAAACAGCUGGAGGACGUAAGGCCUCAGCCCUAUUGACAUUUCCCUUGCCCUGAAAUGGUGUUUAUUACCUCUCCAAGUGUUCUGGAGACUGUGUUUUGCUCAGAAGCUUUUCUGAGUGCCACUUGAGCUCCUGAUAUCUUCUGCAAAGAUGUGUAGGAUAAAGAGGGGUCCAGAUUCCCAUCAGCACCGCUAAACAUAGGUUUCCUAUCACCCUCUCUGUGCAAGACACGAUACAUUCUCACUUUUUGCUUGGCCUUCUCCUGGUCUUCACCUGCCCAACACUGUCAAUGAGAACAUGGCUGUCUCACUUCGGAGCAAAUAAAGGGUUUGUAGACUUAUUUUGAUUGCAAUUUUCCCCUGCUGCACAGGAGAGGGUAUGGCUCUGCUGGUAGCAGAAGUCCCGCUGAUAGCAGCUAUUGCGAUCUGCCUCCCCAGCUCUUGCUCAGCUCUGUGCUGGAAACCACACAAACCAGCAACUUUCUGGCACUGUGCCCAGGCUCUUGGGCACAGGUGCACUUACUAAGUUGAAGACAUUUGGCAGAUGGCUUACAGGUGUAGCCUUCUCCACUAAAUCCACAUCUGAUCCUGGUGUUACCAGGGCAGCCAGAUGCCCAGGCCAUGCCUUUCCACAGGGCAUGAAGGGGAUGACACUUUAGCAGCUUUAGCAUCUGAACUAAAUGCCCGAGGCACCCUCGGAGUCCUACAGUUGGGAGAAAAAUUGCUCCAAGGCUAAGCCUUGCCCACAGCAGCACCAGUGCCAGGACCUGUCUCUCCCUUUAUGUGGCAAAGGACCUUGUCUAUCCACCGGAGAAAGCUCCUUGAUGAAAGACAAAUCCAGGCUUUGCCAGGAUCCUUUGAGGUCUGGGGAAAUCAUGCUGAGAAAGGAGACUUCCUCACUAUUUAUCCCUGGCAUGACACCAAAGUCAGAUUUUUGUUCCUAGCCCUUGGUGUGGAUGCAAUUAACACGUGGCCUGCUCACUGUGGGAUGGUUAGUAGAAGAGUGAGGAGAGAUGGGAGCAAAUGCUGGCCCUUUUUAGCACUCUGUUACUGUUCCGUUAUCUGAAAUGCUGCAGUGUAUCAUUAUCUGUUGAUUGCAGUCUUUUGCCCAGUUUUUGCUGUUGCCCAGUCAGCACUCAUCUCCAAGACAAUCUGAAUUAAUUGUGUGAAGGAUUUCACAAGACUGAAAUAUUCAGCAACAUUCAACUGAAAUCAAGACAGAGCAGGACUGGUUCUGAUCACAGUCUGAGGUGGGCAGAGGUCUCAAGGAUUGAUGGGUUUUAUGGCUGCUCUUUACCCCAAGAGGGAAAAUCCUGCAUCUAGACCUCAUUGUGCCACAGACCUAGCAUUUUAUCAGCAGAGCAUGUAUCUGGUGGAUGGAAUUGCUCUCUGAAGCUCUUCUUUCUUUGUCUUCUAAGGAUUUUCUUUACCUUCUUUAUGCACCUCAGAUUUCCACCAUUUUUACUGUAAAUUCUGGUUUAAUCACCACUGUCGUUGAUACUUCUGCUCAUAAUAAUGAAGCAAGUGCUGAGGAUUAAAUCAGACUUACCAGACAACCACUGCCAGGACAACUGUUUGUCCCUCUCUCAAACACUGGCACUACAUGUGACUGCUUCCUGUACCUUGCUGUUCUCCAUGGCUUUUCAAUGGAGUUGGCGGAGGUGUGGAAUACAUAUUAGCUAACUCUGUUGACACAUUAAGUGAAUGUUAUCCAGAUCCACUGACUAAAUGCAAGUAUGACUAUUAAUUGUCUCUUUCCCCAAAAGAAGAAACAGAGUUUUGUCAAACCAAAUGCCACUUUCUCAGCUAAUAUCUUGCCACCUGCCCAACCAGAAGAGACAGCAUCCUUAUCUUUGUGACAAUAGUAGUAGUAGUAAUAACAGUAACAAUAACUACAACAAUUUCUCUUUUUGAAUGCAGUGUUAGGGCUUGUAAGUUUAAAAAAAAAAAAAAAAAAAAAAAAAAAAAAAAAGGAUGCUGCUUGCUGGAACUCUUGAUUUAGCAAGCUGAACAACCAAAUCAAAGGAAAUGAUGUUGCACAUGCAUGGUACUGGCAGCUUGAUAUCCCCAUUGGUGUUCACCUCUUCUCCAUAAUACUUUGUGCCAUUUGGCUUCAUCCCACAUCAUUCCAUUGAAAGUGAAGUGGGUCUCCAGUCCCAGCCCUUCCACUGAGCUAUACAGCUGUGGAUACAUGUCCUUACUUCUCCAUGUCUGCCCCCCUACCUGUGAAGGGGGCAAUCAAACUGGUUUUUGCACAGCUAUAUGAAAUUUUCAGACACUGAAGCACAGGAAGGCUAUAUUUCAGUACUGCAGACAGAUUGUUAGUAGUAUUAUCUUUCUUUCUCCUCUUUCCUUCCUCCUACCUCUCAGUUACACAGCAUCCCACUGUUCUCAAAGUUCAUAUGCUUGAGGAAAAAAAAAAGAAAUCUGAUUUUUCCACUGAGUGUCAGCAUAGAUCAGAGGCUACAGUAACAUCUUUAGCAUGGGCAGAUUAUAAAUUAACUUGGAAGGUUCAAGUAAUUGAUAUUCAUCAUUUGAAAAUGUACCAGACUAAAUCUCAAGUUUGAAUGAAAAGGUCAGAGAAAAAAUUCAAUCUGUUAAAACAGAGCAAACUAUUAGCAAUAGUCAGGUUUGAGUGUUUGUUUUUAAUUAAAAAUCAUUUUACUUGGCUAUCAUAUUUUUAUUGCACAGCAGGUAUUUUGUUCUUUUACAGAGUAACAUAAAACUUUUAUAGAUUCUCCUGCUUAGAACUUCCCUUUCUGCCCAUGCAUAGUGCAGUGGAGCCUGUUUGCAUUUCAUUUUAAAUCCUUACAAUGAGCCACUCUUUGAGGAUUGCACUGGUUUUAUUCAUGUACUCCCAGACACAAGUGUGCAUCGAAUUUUCUCUUCUGCUCCCUCUCCAGCUACUCUCCUGGCAAGCAGGUUAAACUGAAGCAAUGGUGCAGGGAGAUAUUUAUGCAGGCGUUCAUAAAUUGUUGUAGUUCUGCUUCCACCACGGGGGCUAUUGAAGCCCUUUGGGUUGGCGUAUAAUGAAAUGCAGACUCCCUGUACUCCCAGUGUGAGGAAGUGAAAAAAAUCAGAUUCCCUUUUUACUUUCCUAGAUAAUAAGUCCUUUGUUUUAACUAAUCUUUCACUUUCAGGAGUGAUUAGAUGGUUUAGCUGAAUGAAUCCUAUUAUUUAAAGCCUUUCCUUCCUGCUUCUCAAUGUGUGUUCUGACUCAUGUACCUAUUUUCAUGUAGAGAUUAUUUAGAUAAGGUGUUUUUUCUCUCCCUUUAAAAAUAGCAGCAAGCAAGAUUUUGGACUAAGCCUUAUCUGUGUAUAUGGACAGUCACUGGCAUCAAGCUUAGCUAAAGGCAGAGAUGCUAAAAUCCCCUUGCGAACUCUUGGAGACGAUGUUUGACUACUGCAUAAGAAGAUACAAUGAAAACAUGCAUGCUGACUGAUACUUUCAGGCCUCCUUUAAGUAUUAAACGAUGAAUACUAAACCCAAAAGCACAGCCCUAAAGCAGAAGAGCAUUCCCAAGCUUGUGCUUCCUCUCGAGCUUGUGCUCACUGGGUUCAAUAGGAAGUUCCUAAAGCUGAGCUGGUGACUGAAGCUGGUGCCUGUCCCUGCUGGAGUGGGACACAGCAUGGCCAUGGGGCCAUGGGAUGCAGGAACACAAUGCACUGGCCAGAGUGGAAGAGAAAGUGAAACUCUUCCUCCUUCAGCUCCCAGACAUAGGUGCUGGGAUCUGGCUCACUGGAUCACAGCAAGGGAGGUGGCUGCAGUCACAGCUAAGCCAGGAGCAGAGUGUGCCUCUUUCUUUAAUAUAAAUACCACUAACGUAUGUGCAUAGGAUACAUUUUCAUUGAGUUCCCUGUGUACUAUACACCCACAUACUCAAUGUGAAGCCAUUACCUCUGCCUCAUUCUCCCAGUCCAGCCUACGCUCCUAUUUAACUUAGUGCUCCCUGGCCAAGACACUUUUUAAAUUCCUUAUUCUCCCAGCACGCUAAUGAUCUUCUGGAGCUGGAUCCACCACCUCCCUGACAUAUCUUUCUACAAGCCAGAAUGUCUGAGAUUCAGCUGCAAAAAUGUCCAUGUGAACCUGGAGUCAACUUCCAAAAAGAUCUUUUAAAAAAGAAGCCAGAUACAGAGAAUGGGAAGGGAGAAAGAACAGCAGCCAGCAAAAUGCCUUCGCCUGAUUCAGGGGAUUUAUCUGCAUUUCUAGUUAAUAAAAGACAUUAAUUGAUUCACGUUUUUUAUGGCUGCACACAGAGCUAUUUCUGGCUGGAAGGAGACACUGUUAAACGGAAUGAGUCAGUCCAGACCUGUUAUGUCACCCUGGGACCCUGGAAGAUUUGUUAAUAGCUCUGAAGAAAUCAAGUUGCUUCACGGGGCUAUUUUCUUCUCAAACAUCAAAAGGAGAGGAAAAGUAUAGCAAUUCUGAAGGAUGAAAAUAAUUUUUUUACAUGGUCCUUUGCAUUUGACGAAUAGCAACAGGAUAAUCAAAGAGCUUUGCUCUCCACAAAGCACUUGCAUAGAAAUCUCAGCAGGAUUUAUCAGCCCAGCCAAACCUAAUCUCCAGAGACAUGGCUCUUAGCUAAGGAAAGUCCAGGCAGGUCACAGCUCCUCAAUUCACUUCCGAGGAUUUCUUCCAGAUUAACUUCACAAAUCAAAAGAUUGUGCUGAGAGAGUUUUACAGGAAGGAAAGUCUGUAUUUUUCCUCUUAAAACUAUGUAGAAAACAUUCUUUCACCAAACCCCACACUCUUCCCCACAAAGAAACCCACUUUAUAGACAUCAAUAUUCAAAGCUGUGCUGGAAACCAAACUGUUUUAAAUCAGAAUUUGUCUUCAGUGAAGAACUGAGUUGCAGCUGAGGUGUUUCAUGUUCCUGUUCUCCCUUCUGGGUCAUGGUACCCUACCAGAUGAUACCUCCAGGAUGUGACAUGUGGUGGUGACUGUGAUGGUUAUCACAGAUGGAGUCCAGCCAAGGAGCCAACAGAGAUGGUGGUCCCAAGUGGCAGGGGCACCGAAGGAACCUGUUAGGCCUUCAGCCCUCUGACCACAUUUCCACCUUCAGUUUGGAAAGUGAAUUGGAUAGUUUUAAACUGAAACACAUCUACGCUUUGUUUUUCAUCAGAAGACUAAAAAUAUCCAUGGAAAAUGUUGACAAAUUGAAAGCAUUUGUCAUUUCUGCUUCUGUUUCCCUGGUGACAAAAAAAAAAAAAAAAAAAAAAAAAAAAAAAAGUAUUUCCAACUAAGACAAAGCCUGCAUUUCACAGUAUUAGCCAGAUCAUCCCAAUAUUUGCCCUAGCUCUUGCCUCCAUGGUCCAAAGCAGCACAAUGGUGGCCAAAGCUUGUAAAAUGGGUCUCCCUCUUGUCUACUAAUUUGGAGCUCAUUUGCUCUUGUUACCACCUGUCCAGGACUGUUCACGAUGAGAUAAAUGCCUAUACUGGCCUCAUCCUAUUCAUAAAGUGAUACUUAUGUUUGUGGUCAUGCUAGGGAAACAGCAUUGUUCUUUGUGGUGAUGGGACAAGUUUUCUGUUGUUUUUUUUUCAGACUUUUUUUUUCUUUUUUUGGUGUUGACAUCUUGAAUAUUCACAGCUCCUGGCCAUCAGAGGAGUCCAUCAAAGGGCUCAGCUCUGUGUUGUAGAUAUGCAAAACAGAAGCCUGGGUUUCUUCUGAACUUUCCUCACACUGAGUGGUGAGACUAAUUUAGCAGCAUACGGUUUGUAAAUCUGCAUGUGGCCCCACCGUGAUAGCAUUAGCUGACUUAAAGGGGAUGGGGGGAAGUACAGGCAUGUUCAAAUCCUUACUGUUCAGACAAAUCUGCCCCCAGCUAUGCUUGCAUUGUCAUCUUUCUUAUGGAAAAAGCAUGCUAGAGAAAAAAAGAUCCUAGGUGGGCUCCUCCAAAUGCACUACUGCCACGGAGCCUGACGGGAGCACGGCUUUGUGCACCAUUUGUGCGGCUGCUGGAUUGCAGUGUUUUAGCUCUCCCUCCCUGUAUUAGAAAGCGAGUGAUGGUGUUUCUGGGGAAAGCCAUCCUUCUGCGAGAGUGGCUCGUGGGGACACGCAGAUAAAGUAAUCUCAGCCUCCAUGUGCUCCAGCAUCAGCACCUAACAAAGCCCCAUUCUCUGGGUGGCAGUAGCCUGCUGGUUUUCCAAACCAAAAUUUCCUGCUUUCACAUAGCAACCAGGGAUUUUGCUGAUCCCUUCCUCCCCCUUAUCAGUGAAGACUUCCAUUAAAACACCCUGGAAUCCUAAAGACAAGAAAUUACUGUGGCACAGCAAGGAUCAAUACAAGCAAGAUAAAUACAGCUUGUGUUGGCCAGAGCUCUUGUACUUCAUAACACAAAUCUCAAAAAGCGAUGCCAGCUACAAAUCCAGGCUAGUCUUUCUAUAAUGCCAUGCUCUUUAACUGUAAUGCACUGUGCUGUGACGCUACGAAGUGGGCUUCACCUGGUGCUGGAGUUUUGUACUUGCUUUGAGGAGCAAUGCUGCUGAAACAGUCCCAUCAAUCCUCCCCUGGCCUUGGCAGCUUUGUCCUUGCCUUGCCUGUCCUCGAGCCAGGGCAGCAUCCAAGAGGAGCUGCUUCGGGCUCAAACCACUGUAGGGUUGGUGUAAUCACACUUGAAGUCUCCAAUCUGGCCCGUUGUGUGGUCACACCAGUGCUUGUACUGGCACAAAAGAAUAUGCAUUGAAAGCACACAGGGAAAAAUGUCCAUCCCAGCUGCCCUGCUGGGCUGAAAUUUUAAACUGCACUCAACAUCCCUCAAAAUCACAUUGUCUUGUUAAUCAUCUAGGCUGUCAUUUCUGCAGAGAAAUACAGCCAUCUUAGGAUGAACUGAGCCACUGAAGAGAUGCCUACCUCUCCCCCAGACCUUCUGAGAGCCUACAUGAUCAGCUUAGGCUGAGGGCCCAAUUUUUAGAUGCUAUAAGCAAGAUGAUAUGAAUUCCAUCUACAUGACCAAUAUAGAAGACUCCAAAGUUAUUGUGAGCCUUGCAAGGCACCGGGGCCACAUGAGAAAGGAGGGUGGACUAAAGUGUGUCCUCUUUGGAGAGGUCUGGAGGCCUAAUGUUUGAGGCAUGGGCCCUAUCUUGGCAAGAAAACCAGUGGGCAGAUGAGAAGAAUGCAAUAGCCUGCUCUGCUUUACUUCUGAUGCUUUCAGCUCCUGUAGAAUAAGGCUGCGAAUAGACACAACUCUCAUGAAAAAGAGCAGUUGGAAGCUGAUGUACUCAGAGGUGCAGCAGCUCUUUCAUGGGGAAUAUUAUUUGUCCUUUCAGAACAAAGCUGUAAAGACUCAAAUAAUCUGUCCUUCUCUGGGAAAUUGUUCUUUAUUGUACUCCCAUCAGGCAUUCUGCAUGCUAGCACAGGGUUAUUACAGAAACAUUGUCCCUGCUGGGCUCAAACUACCUCACCAUGCUCCUAAGCUAGAAAACGGGAACCAGAACUGGAAGGUUGUCAUCCUCUGAGCCUUGUUACAGGAAUGUUGGGACAUAUGGUUCUUUCAUGGACUGACCAAGAUCCAUGCAGCAGAGCUGGCAUGCUUGUCCCAGCAUGUACCAAUAUGCUGACUGUCAGAGAACUUCACAGCUUUGACCUUGAAACCUCUUGCACUGAAAUUAUCCAUACCAAUCCUCACCUACUUGUCUUUGUGCUGGUAUUGUUCUAUAAUUUACACGUGAUUUUGCCUCCCAGCUAUUAAGCCGCUGCUGUGUUUGUGCAGGACGUUCCCAUGUCUCCCAGCUUUCCUUCUCUGGGCUAAGCAAGCUAAACUCCUGUACUGUCAUCUUGCCUGACAGGACCACUGCUCUCCAGCAAACCCUCUUUGUACCAUGGAUUUGUGCCUGCUCCAGACUGAAUUAAUCUUCCUUUAACACAGUAGAUAAAGAGAAGCUGCUCAGUGGCUCCUGCACCUCCUGUGGGUGAUUUCUUAUCUAGAGAGGACUAAAUAAUAGCUCAAAGGCACCAUUUUGUUGUUGUUGGUGGUGGUGGUUUUCUUUGUUUUUCUUCCUUCCUUGUUCUCCAGUAAUAAAAGCCAGUGGAUGGCCCAUAUCGAUCCUGAGGGCUGGAGGCUUCUGUCCCAGGGUAUCUGAUCAAUGCCAGGACUGAGCACUUAUUGUGGGGAUCCUCAAAGCGGGUGUAUCAGCGAGGUCUCUUCUUGAGGCAGUCACCCCGGUAGUCAAGGGAGAAGUUCUGCGCGGUUACGAUGAAGCUCCUUCAGGCUAGUCUGGACGUGUGAUGCAGGAUGCGCUGCACAGCAGGGCCUCCUUCUCCCCAGGCAGUACCAAGGGAGACUGGGCAGUGAAGUCAGAUGGAGAUGCCGCACUGACCCUACUUUGUCUUUACUGUUUC